CACACACAUAUACAUAUUAAUUUACAAGCAUCUCAUAUCAAAGUCCCAUCCCUCUUACAAAACUUGCAAAGUUAAAAGCGAGGAAAACAUAAAUACUAAAACAAUACAGAAAUAUCGUCUAACAGAAAAGAAAUAAGCUCUUCUGAACUUCGUCAUCCGUAACCUGAAAAAGAAAAGACCUGGUGUAUAUUCACGGGGGCGAGCUCAUCUGGAACUUUCAUAGUGUCCGG
This is a non-coding RNA of Arachis ipaensis, 230 nucleotides long. NCBI's taxonomy places the organism in Eukaryota, Viridiplantae, Streptophyta, Magnoliopsida, Fabales, Fabaceae. The record is from RefSeq and is a predicted model, not a curated record.